AUCAGAGACUAGCUGAUUUAGAAAUAGCUGUGUCUUUGUAACAUUACCAUGUCUUAAACCAGACAGAAAGGGCUCCAGGAAACCUGAGGGCUCUAGAUAAUACUCUAGAUAAUGUGAGAGCUGCUUCUCCAUGACCUAUUUGAUAACCUUCUUCACAUAAGGAUGUUUACAGGCUGGGUGGCAACUAAGAUGUUUAGCUGUGCUGAGAUGACAACUUUAUGAGUUGGUGAACUGAAUCUGAGAGAGACCAAGAAAUUUGCCAAAAGAAAUCAGCGGUGAACAAGAAACCAAAGUGAACUUCGCUAGGCCCAGACUAGCACUUUAAUAACUUCUGCCACUGCUUUCUGUCCAACAUCCACUUGAUGGGAUCUAUUCUUUGAUGAAUCUUCUGUUGUUAUUAUAAUCAAAACUCAAAUGUUUUCCCCAUUUACAGUUUCUGUUCUGUAAAGAUCUUCACAAAGUC
This is a long non-coding RNA of Corvus hawaiiensis (hawaiian crow), 463 nucleotides long. RefSeq lists it as uncharacterized. The transcript has 2 exons. Lineage: Eukaryota; Metazoa; Chordata; Aves; Passeriformes; Corvidae. The record is from RefSeq and is a predicted model, not a curated record.